UUGACAUCCAGAGAACUUAGCAGAGAUGCUUUGGUGCCUUCGGGAACUCUGAGACAGGUGCUGCAUGGCUGUCGUCAGCUCGUGUUGUGAAAUGUUGGGUUAAGUCCGCAACGAGCGCAACCCUUAUCCUUUGUUACCAGCGGUUCGGCCGGGAACUCAAAGGAGACUGCCGGUGAUAAACCGGAGGAAGGUGGGGAUGACGUCAAGUCAUCAUGGCCCUUACGGCCAGGGCUACACACGUGCUACAAUGGCGCAUACAAAGAGAAGCGACCUCGCGAGAGCAAGCGGACCUCAUAAAGUGCGUCGUAGUCCGGAUUGGAGUCUGCAACUCGACUCCAUGAAGUCGGAAUCGCCAGUAAUCGUAGAUCAGAAUGCUACGGUGAAUACGUUCCCGGGCCUUGUACACACCGCCCGUCACACCAUGGGAGUGGGUUGCAAAAGAAGUAGGUAGCUUAACCUUCGGGAGGGCGCUUACCACUUUGUGAUUCAUGACUGGGGUGAAGUCGUAACAAGGUAGGCGUAGCGAG
RNAcentral lists this ribosomal RNA (527 nucleotides) under uncultured bacterium. RNAcentral's name for it is "bacterial SSU rRNA". It matches the Rfam family "Bacterial small subunit ribosomal RNA", at positions 981 to 1509 of the family's 1533-position model. The record is from RNAcentral.